RNAcentral lists this ribosomal RNA (499 nucleotides) under uncultured bacterium. RNAcentral's name for it is "partial 16S ribosomal RNA". It matches the Rfam family "Bacterial small subunit ribosomal RNA", at positions 28 to 507 of the family's 1533-position model. The record is from RNAcentral.
GAUGAACGCUGGCGGCGUGCCUAAUACAUGCAAGUCGAGCGAACAGACGAGAGUGCUUGCACUCUCUGACGUUAGCGGCGGGCGGGUGAGUAACACGUGGGUAACCUACCUAUAAGACUGGGAUAACUUCGGGAAACCGGAGCUAAUACCGGAUAAUAUUUAGCUUCGCAUGAAGCAAUAGUGAAAGACGGUUCUGCUGUCACUUAUAGAUGGACCCGCGGUGUAUUAGCUAGUUGGUGAGGUAACGGCUCACCAAGGCAACGAUACAUAGCCGACCUGAGAGGGUGAUCGGCCACACUGGGACUGAGACACGGCCCAGACUCCUACGGGAGGCAGCAGUAGGGAAUCUUCCGCAAUGGACGAAAGUCUGACGGAGCAAUGCCGCGUGAGUGAAGAAGGUUUUCGGAUCGUAAAACUCUGUUGUAAGGGAAGAACAAGUACGUUAGUAACUGAACGUACCUUGACGGUACCUGACCAGAAAGCCACGGCUAACUACGUG